Molecule: non-coding RNA, 25 nt
Filed under: Mus musculus (house mouse)
Lineage: Eukaryota; Metazoa; Chordata; Mammalia; Rodentia; Muridae
Source: RNAcentral
UGAAUGGAAGUAACGCAUAAUGAGA